GACGAACGCUGGCGGCGUGCCUAAUACAUGCAAGUAGGACGCACAGUUUAUACCGUAGCUUGCUACACCAUAGACUGUGAGUUGCGAACGGGUGAGUAACGCGUAGGUAACCUGCCUAUUAGAGGGGGAUAACUAUUGGAAACGAUAGCUAAUACCGCAUAACAGUAUGUAACACAUGUUAGAUGCUUGAAAGAUGCAAUUGCAUCGCUAGUAGAUGGACCUGCGUUGUAUUAGCUAGUAGGUAGGGUAAUGGCCUACCUAGGCGACGAUACAUAGCCGACCUGAGAGGGUGAUCGGCCACACUGGGACUGAGACACGGCCCAGACUCCUACGGGAGGCAGCAGUAGGGAAUCUUCGGCAAUGGGGGGAACCCUGACCGAGCAACGCCGCGUGAGUGAAGAAGGUUUUCGGAUCGUAAAGCUCUGUUGUUAAGGAAGAACGAGUGUGAAAAUGGAAAGUUCAUACUGUGACGGUACUUAACCAGAAAGGGACGGCUAACUACGUGCCAGCAGCCGCGGUAAUACGUAGGUCCCGAGCGUUGUCCGGAUUUAUUGGGCGUAAAGCGAGCGCAGGCGGUUAGAAAAGUCUGAAGUGAAAGGCAGUGGCUCAACCAUUGUAGGCUUUGGAAACUGUUUAACUUGAGUGCAGAAGGGGAGAGUGGAAUUCCAUGUGUAGCGGUGAAAUGCGUAGAUAUAUGGAGGAACACCGGGUGGCGAAAGCGGCUCUCUGGUCUGUAACUGACGCUGAGGCUCGAAAGCGUGGGGAGCGAACAGG
This 774-nucleotide ribosomal RNA is filed under the name Streptococcus anginosus. Its description in RNAcentral is "bacterial SSU rRNA". It matches the Rfam family "Bacterial small subunit ribosomal RNA", at positions 28 to 776 of the family's 1533-position model. Lineage: Bacteria; Bacillati; Bacillota; Bacilli; Lactobacillales; Streptococcaceae. The record is from RNAcentral.